UACGGGGGGGGCAAGCGUUGUUCGGAAUUACUGGGCGUAAAGCGUGCGCAGGCGGUUUUGUAAGGCAGAUGUGAAAUCCCCGGGCUUAACCUGGGAAUGGCAUUUGGGACUGCAAGGCUCGAGUGCGGCAGAGGAGACUGGAAUUCCUGGUGUAGCAGUGAAAUGCGUAGAUAUCAGGAGGAACACCGAUGGCGAAGGCAGGUCUCUGGGCUGACACUGACGCUCAUGCACGAAAGCGUGGGGAGCAAACAGG
Molecule: ribosomal RNA, 253 nt
Filed under: uncultured bacterium
Lineage: Bacteria
Description: partial 16S ribosomal RNA
Rfam family: Bacterial small subunit ribosomal RNA
Source: RNAcentral